RNAcentral lists this small RNA (410 nucleotides) under Xanthomonas campestris pv. campestris. RNAcentral's name for it is "ncRNA of unknown function". The record is from RNAcentral. Lineage: Bacteria; Pseudomonadati; Pseudomonadota; Gammaproteobacteria; Lysobacterales; Lysobacteraceae.
UGAUGUCAGUUUGGUGACAGCGGCAGCGCCAUCCGACGGAUGACUGUGUCAGCUGCAUGUCCGGCAGAUGUCAAUGCUGCGGCAGGCGUGGGCGGUGCAAGGCCUGCCCAGGCCGGGCGUCCACUGCUUUGGCGCGAUGGCGCAUGCAGCUAUUGCUGCGGGAUGCGUGACCACGGCUAGGCGGCCCGAAGGUACAGCGCUUUGGCGUCGCCUGUGUGGUCGGUGGAGCGCGGACGACGCAGCGAUGCCCGCCCGGUACCGCGCGCCUAUCGGAUGCAGGGCCUUUGUUUCGGUGGUGACGUUCUGCGUCUCGGAGCCGAGGAUCCCCGCACGACACCAUGGCGACCAAGCCUGCACGCCAUCGGCAGCGACCGGAGUUGUGUUCCUUGCGCAUCGGGCGCAGCAGCGAC